CACUCCUACGGGAGGCAGCAGUGGGGAAUAUUGCACAAUGGGCGGAAGCCUGAUGCAGCAACGCCGCGUGCGGGAUGACGGCCUUCGGGUUGUAAACCGCUUUCGCCUGUGACGAAGCGUGAGUGACGGUAAUGGGUAAAGAAGCACCGGCUAACUACGUGCCAGCAGCCGCGGUGAUACGUAGGGUGCGAGCGUUGUCCGGAUUUAUUGGGCGUAAAGGGCUCGUAGGUGGUUGAUCGCGUCGGAAGUGUAAUCUUGGGGCUUAACCCUGAGCGUGCUUUCGAUACGGGUUGACUUGAGGAAGGUAGGGGAGAAUGGAAUUCCUGGUGGAGCGGUGGAAUGCGCAGAUAUCAGGAGGAACACCAGUGGCGAAGGCGGUUCUCUGGGCCUUUCCUGACGCUGAGGAGCGAAAGCGUGGGGAGCGAACAGGCUUAGAUACCCGUGUAGUCCCAUG
RNAcentral lists this ribosomal RNA (454 nucleotides) under uncultured organism. RNAcentral describes it as "partial 16S ribosomal RNA". It matches the Rfam family "Bacterial small subunit ribosomal RNA", at positions 334 to 799 of the family's 1533-position model. The record is from RNAcentral.